Actinia tenebrosa (Australian red waratah sea anemone) is the source of this 330-nucleotide long non-coding RNA. NCBI's taxonomy places the organism in Eukaryota, Metazoa, Cnidaria, Anthozoa, Actiniaria, Actiniidae. The record is from RefSeq and is a predicted model, not a curated record.
AACAAGACCAACAUGGCGGAUGUCUAAAAAUUUGAAUGAGACGGAAAUACCACUGGUUGAAAGUGUAGUUUUUCCAAUGCCAUUUUUCACCCUGGAGAUCGUUCCCACGUGACGUUCAUUAGUUGCUAAACAUCUUCUUGUAUGUUGCUGGAACGCUGUGCUGGACAUUGUUAUCUCGCAAAAGUCCUUAUUCAAUAAUAGCCCAAAAAUUUGGAGAUGAAUUUAACUGACAGUUAAUCUGUAUUUGCUGGUAAACCUACACUGCAUGCCCGCAGGAAAUUUCACAUGGAUCAAUCAAUAAUCACUCAAGAAAUAUAUUUUUGAUACUAC